Molecule: small RNA, 1621 nt
Filed under: Pan troglodytes (chimpanzee)
Lineage: Eukaryota; Metazoa; Chordata; Mammalia; Primates; Hominidae
Description: retained intron
Source: RNAcentral
AUUAAUAGUCAUGAAUAUCUGCUAUUAGGAGGCUCCAGGAACGCUGCCCAGCGCGGUUAUUAGAAGCUCAAGCGAAGCCGCCGCUAAGAAAAGAGGGGGAGACACGGAUUAAGGAACACGCACGCACCCACACACUCACACAUACUUUUUCCUUUUUCCUUUUUUGGGGUUUUUCAUUUUUAAAGAACUUUGAAUCAUAACCAGUCGCGGCAGGAUAGAGACCGUGGGUUCGACCAGCUGAAGGCGCCGCGCGAAUCGGUGGUUCAAGUUCGGAUGGAUCCGAGCCGGGCUCCCGCGCUCCGGGGAGCGUCGGCGCCGUGACUGGAGUCCUGGGUGGCGCGGGGCUCUCGGCGCCUUUUGUGUGGGGCGCGCUCGGGCGGCGGGGCAACCGGGCGCUCCAGGCUUGCUUGUUUUUUUCCACCCUGACUCGUUACCCCAGACUCUUCGCAGAUGUUAGUUCACAGUUUUUCAGCCAUGGACCGUCACGACGGCACCAGCAACGGGACGGCACGGUUGCCCCAGCUGGGCACUGUAGGUCAAUCUCCCUACACGAGCGCCCCGCCGCUGUCCCACACCCCCAAUGCCGACUUCCAGCCCCCAUACUUCCCCCCACCCUACCAGCCUAUCUACCCCCAGUCGCAAGAUCCUUACUCCCACGUCAACGACCCCUACAGCCUGAACCCCCUGCACGCCCAGCCGCAGCCGCAGCACCCAGGCUGGCCCGGCCAGAGGCAGAGCCAGGAGUCUGGGCUCCUGCACACGCACCGGGGGCUGCCUCACCAGCUGUCGGGCCUGGAUCCUCGCAGGGACUACAGGCGGCACGAGGACCUCCUGCACGGCCCACACGCGCUCAGCUCAGGACUCGGAGACCUCUCGAUCCACUCCUUACCUCACGCCAUCGAGGAGGUCCCGCAUGUAGAAGACCCGGGUAUUAACAUCCCAGAUCAAACUGUAAUUAAGAAAGGUAAGCCAUUUCCUUCUGCAUUCCAAGCAUGUCCUUACAGGCAGAGUGCUAUUUAAAAGAACUUGCAGAGAUGUGUUUAUUUUUUCCAAAUAGGAUUUCCUAAAGGCUCAGAAUUAGCAAAUAGAUAGGCACAGAACAGCAAUGCUUAAAUAAUCAGCCUUCAGUAUGUUGGUAAUGCCAACAGGCUAGCUUUGUUCUGACUCAUGAUUUGACCAUUUAAUUUAGUUUAAUGAUAUUUGGACAAACACACAAAAUGUACAGUAGUUGAACUGAUUUGGAAGUGGCAUUUCAAUUUUGAAACAGUUUGAUAGUUUAAUCCAUUGCCUGGAUGAGGGUUAAGAAGUGUAUAAUGCUAAAAUAGUACAAAUAAUUUAACAUUAAUGUAAGAACAGAUGAUAAAAAGCACUCUUUAGUAGAGGAAAAAAACAUUCACGUUCUUCAAUUUAGUUUCUUGUUAGCUGUUUAAGGGUCUUAGAACUUUGUGAAUUAGGUUAACAAAAUUUUAGCUUUUGGUUAAAAUUAGUAUCUUGAAGAUGGGAGGAAUAUUAGCAUACUUGUUCAGAGGAGAAAUUGUUAGAAAAGUGUCAAGUGAUUUGCAUGGAUUUGUAAUCUGUAUUGUGUUUAGUGAGUAGAAAUAAAGUUUACUGAAUUAAAUGC